The submitters of this non-coding RNA (57 nucleotides) gave its source as unclassified sequences. The record is from Rfam.
AUUGGUCCUCGGUGGUGGCUUCCGGAAUAAAUCCGUGAGCUUCGAUCGAAGAUCCAU